This 439-nucleotide ribosomal RNA is filed under the name uncultured Flavobacterium sp. RNAcentral describes it as "bacterial SSU rRNA". It matches the Rfam family "Bacterial small subunit ribosomal RNA", at positions 28 to 468 of the family's 1533-position model. Lineage: Bacteria; Pseudomonadati; Bacteroidota; Flavobacteriia; Flavobacteriales; Flavobacteriaceae. The record is from RNAcentral.
GAUGAGCGCUAGCGGCAGGCCUAACACAUGCAAGUCGAGGGGUAUAGUUCUUCGGAACUAGAGACCGGUGCACGGGUGCGUAACGCGUAUGCAAUCUACCUUAUACAGGGGAAUAGCCCAGAGAAAUUUGGAUUAAUGCCCCAUAGUGUUAUAGAAUCGCAUGGUUUUGUAACUAAAGUUCCAACGGUAUAAGAUGAGCAUGCGUCCCAUUAGUUAGCUGGUAAGGUAACGGCUUACCAAGACAAUGAUGGGUAGGGGUCCUGAGAGGGAGAUCCCCCACACUGGUACUGAGACACGGACCAGACUCCUACGGGAGGCAGCAGUGAGGAAUAUUGGUCAAUGGGCGCAAGCCUGAACCAGCCAUGCCGCGUGCAGGAAGAAGCAUCUAUGGUGUGUAAACUGCUUUUAUACAGGAAGAAACACCUCCACGUGUGGAGGC